GCACGGCUGACGAGUCCCAUACUAGGACGAAACGGCCGUCCAGUGC
This 46-nucleotide non-coding RNA is filed under the name Schistosoma margrebowiei. The record is from RNAcentral. Lineage: Eukaryota; Metazoa; Platyhelminthes; Trematoda; Strigeidida; Schistosomatidae.